This 77-nucleotide transfer RNA is filed under the name Mycolicibacterium neoaurum. RNAcentral's name for it is "tRNA_Pro_TGG". It matches the Rfam family "tRNA". Rfam says of the family: Transfer RNA (tRNA) molecules are approximately 80 nucleotides in length. Their secondary structure includes four short double-helical elements and three loops (D, anti-codon, and T loops). Further hydrogen bonds mediate the characteristic L-shaped molecular structure. tRNAs have two regions of fundamental functional importance: the anti-codon, which is responsible for specific mRNA codon recognition, and the 3' end, to which the tRNAs corresponding amino acid is attached (by aminoacyl-tRNA synthetases). tRNAs cope with the degeneracy of the genetic code in two manners: having more than one tRNA (with a specific anti-codon) for a particular amino acid; and 'wobble' base-pairing, i.e. permitting non-standard base-pairing at the 3rd anti-codon position. The record is from RNAcentral. Lineage: Bacteria; Bacillati; Actinomycetota; Actinomycetes; Mycobacteriales; Mycobacteriaceae. RNAcentral also lists the same sequence under 16 other names.
CGGGGUGUAGCGCAGCUUGGUAGCGCAUCCGCUUUGGGAGCGGAAGGCCGCAGGUUCAAAUCCUGUCACCCCGACCG